RNAcentral lists this ribosomal RNA (776 nucleotides) under uncultured bacterium. Its description in RNAcentral is "bacterial SSU rRNA". It matches the Rfam family "Bacterial small subunit ribosomal RNA", at positions 62 to 871 of the family's 1533-position model. The record is from RNAcentral.
UCGAACGAGAAAGUGGAGCAAUCCAUGAGUACAGUGGCGUACGGGUGAGUAACACGUGGGUGAUCUACCUUUUAGUGAGGAAUAACCGAGGGAAACUUCGGCUAAUACCGCAUAAGCCUGAGAAGGGAAAGCAGAAAUGCGCUGAAAGAGGAGCCCGCGGCCGAUUAGCUAGUUGGUGAGGUAAGAGCCCACCAAGGCAGAGAUCGGUAGCCGGCCUGAGAGGGCACACGGCCACACUGGCACUGAAACACGGGCCAGACUCCUACGGGAGGCAGCAGUGGGGAAUCUUGCACAAUGGGGGAAACCCUGAUGCAGCGACGCCGCGUGAGCGAUGAAGCCCUUCGGGGUGUAAAGCUCUUUCGUCAGGGAAGAUAGUGACGGUACCUGGAGAAGCAGCUGCGGCUAACUACGUGCCAGCAGCCGCGGUAAUACGUAGGCAGCAAGCGUUGUUCGGAGUUACUGGGCGUAAAGGGUGUGUAGGCGGUUCUUUAAGUUUGCUGUGAAAUCUCCCGGCUUAACCGGGAGGGUGCGGUGAAUACUGAGGGACUAGAGUACGGGAGAGGAAAGUGGAAUUCCUGGUGUAGCGGUGAAAUGCGUAGAUAUCAGGAGGAACACCGGUGGUGUAGACGGCUUUCUGGACCGACACUGACGCUGAGACACGAAAGCGUGGGUAGCAAACAGGAUUAGAUACCCUGGUAGUCCACGCCCUAAACGAUGCAUAUUUGGUGUGGGCAGUUCAUUCUGUCCGUGCCGGAGCUAACGCGUUAAAUAUGCCG